GCAUAUCAAUAAGCGGAGGAAAAGAAACCAACAGGGAUUGCCCUAGUAACGGCGAGUGAAGCGGCAACAGCUCAAAUUUGAAAUCUGGCGCUUGCGUCCGAGUUGUAAUUUGCAGAGGAUGCUUCUUGCGCGGUGCCUUCCGAGUUCCCUGGAACGGGACGCCAUAGAGGGUGAGAGCCCCGUACGGUUGGACACCAAGCUAUUGUGUAGCACCUUCGACGAGUCGAGUAGUUUGGGAAUGCUGCUCUAAAUGGGAGGUAAACUCCUUCUAAAGCUAAAUAUUGGCCAGAGACCGAUAGCGCACAAGUAGAGUGAUCGAAAGAUGAAAAGCACUUUGAAAAGAGAGUCAAAUAGCACGUGAAAUUGUUGAAAGGGAAGCGCUUAUGACCAGACUUGGGCUUGGUAGUUCAGCCGUCCUUUUGGGCGGUGCACUCUGCCGGUUCAGGCCAGCAUCAGUUGUCGGUUGGGGAGAAAGAUGGCGGGAAUGUGGCUCCUCGGAGUGUUAUAGCCCGCCAUUAUGCCUUUCCGGCGACUGAGGUUAGCGUUCUUCACGGAUGCUGGCGUAAUGGUCAUCAGCGACCCGUCUUGAAACACGGACCAAGGAGUCAUCCUAAUAUGCGAGUGUUUGGGUGUUAAACCCCUACGCGAAAUGAAAGUGAACGGAGGUGAGAGCUUCGGCGCAUCAUCGACCGAUCCUGAUGUUCUCGGAUGGAUUUGAGUAAGAGCAUAUUGGGCUGGACCCGAAAGAAGGUGAACUAUGCUUGGAUAGGGCAAAGCCAGAGGAAACUCUGGUGGAGGCUCGCAGCGGUUCUGACGUGCAAAUCGAUCGUCAAAUCUGAGCAU
This 843-nucleotide ribosomal RNA is filed under the name Aniptodera aquibella. Its description in RNAcentral is "LSU rRNA". It matches the Rfam family "Eukaryotic large subunit ribosomal RNA", at positions 38 to 918 of the family's 3401-position model. Lineage: Eukaryota; Fungi; Ascomycota; Sordariomycetes; Microascales; Halosphaeriaceae. The record is from RNAcentral.